AAAGCACCGCUGCCAUUUGUAGAGCAUGGCUGCAGCUGUGGGAAAGCUCUGCUCUUUGUGCCAAACUGUGGGUUGUUCACCUUUCUAAUCGAGCUAUGGAUAUUUCUACCCCUUCAGUCCAUGAUUCACACAAGCCUUAUUUUCUUCAGCAUUAAAUUCUGCUGCACUUAGGGUCCUGGGAGGGUAGAGAUCCUUGCUGAAACCAGCCGGCUCCUGCUCUACAAUAACCUUCUGGAUGCUAUUUAAACUGCAUUCUUUUUGCAUGCGAUAGCUUAAAGGCACCAGUUUACAGUGAAUUUGUAGAGAUUUAUCUACUUUUUGGCAUGGUAGAGGAGCGUACCCUCCUUUACACCACCUUACUGUGGUGUAAAAUAACUUGUUUGGGUGGCACGUGAGCAGAGAGCAGCAGCAGUUUUAGUGUUGUGGGCUAGGUUUGUGACAUAGACCAAAAUUCUAUCAGUCUGUCAGGAGAUGUGCUAGCAGGCAGCUCACAGUCUGGAAAGGCAACGUAGCUAACAGCUGCAGGUCAUCAGGAGACAUGUUUGGUCCUAACUACCACUUGCUGGACUACCUUCUACCUGGAAUGGCUGCUCCUGUAGACGUUCAAGCUGAAUCUGCAUCCAAAACCCAUAAGCACAGCUCCCCGUCCCCAAGUGAAAAUGGAAGUUGAGAUGAAACCAGGAUUGAUAAAGGUUCUGAGAACAAGCAUUGCAUUCAGCUGAACAUUUGUCAUUGCCCCUCAAAGGAGGUGCAAGGAGAAGCACAGAUCCAACAGUGUUGCUCAAGUUCCUUUGCAGUAAACACGGAGAGCACGGGAGCUCUAGUGCUGACCCGAGGGAGGGAAGGGGUGCAGCCAGAGCUGCACUCAAAGAAGUCAUGUAACUAGGUAAUAACAGAUGAAAGAGGAUCCAUCAAAAAGUGUGUGUGCUUUUAUGGGAAAAAGUAUCUGACCUCAUCUUUCAAGAAUACCAUCCUCAAAGUUUUUGUCUAUCAGCUCACACAAGGAAAAAUAAAUCUCUGUACAGAAGGAAGAAGGUAAGCCUU
This 1044-nucleotide long non-coding RNA is filed under the name Phasianus colchicus (ring-necked pheasant). RNAcentral's name for it is "lncRNA (ENSPCLG00000004037.1)". The record is from RNAcentral. Lineage: Eukaryota; Metazoa; Chordata; Aves; Galliformes; Phasianidae.